UCUUCGCUAUAUAGCUCGGCAGCAUGACUAGUUGGACAUCUCGCGUCUCGGUAACACUUUUAGCCGGAGUAGCCUUGCCGCUGAUCCCCAUAUUGACACGGCCAGAUGCACGGGGACAUUAAAGGCCGGGGGGCCCCACCAAUGCAGAUAGGAGGGGAGUCGGGGGUGCGCGCGUCUUGAUCCCGUGUCCCUAGUCUUGUCUUGUCCCGGUGUCGCGUGGUUGGCCCGUGCCCUCAGUGUUGCUUUUGCCCUCGGCUCUCGGCGUUCGCUCUUUCACGCUCUCACGCUUGUUGCAUUUCUCGCGUGCUCGACGAGUUUGGCGUUGCGUCAACGUGAACGUGAAAUUUUGGGGCUUCGAGUCACGCGUGUGCGUGAUGCUCUCUGUGCACUCGCCACAGGAGUCGUUUUGAAAUUUUUGAAAUGAUAUGUGACUGAUACACGUAAUUGUAUCUGUGUAGUGUGCGUGGACUUUUUCUUCGGGAUGGGACGAGUGGAAUCAUUUUAAGGGGAAAAUAGUGCUGUUAUAUACAUUGGGCAUUUUCAGAGGAAAUUCCGGUUGGAUUAAGAACGAGGUAAAAAAAGGGGGUGAGGUAAUAUUUGUUUCUCAAGCAUCGGAGGGAACCGCUCACACAGUGCCGGAAGUCGAGAGUUCGAAAUGUCAUAUGGAUUAAUUAUUUAUGAACUUAUUUCCGAUAACAGUGAACAGAUUUGAAAAAUGCAAAAAUUCAAACUGUAAUUUUUGAAUGAACCGAGUGCUCAUUGCUCCGCGUGACUUGUGGUUGAGAUAUUUCGUAUAUUCCUGAUUCUUUUCGGCGAAAAGAAGAGGAGGUGAUUUUACAAGGAUACGAGUUUUCGAGGUUCGGAACAAUGAAUGCGGCCAAUAGUUCGACAACUUUAGACAUGGAAAACUGGUACCUGAAUUUACGAAACACAUGUCUAGAAAAAAUACGCAGAAUGCAAAUCGUCUUCCCAAACGAUACAGUGGAGUCGAAGAAAUACUGCAAAACUGCUUUCGAUGGCUGGUCAUGCUGGAACGUCACAUUAGCCGGAGAGACCUCGUUUGUGCCUUGCCCCAGUUUAUAACAGGGUUUGACCCGAAAAGUAAGUAAAAUUUGAUUAAAAUAUUUCGAACUCUUUUUUUGAGCUUUUUCAAUGGUAAGUUUUAAAACUAGGCCUUGUCCACACGAGCACAGUUAUGGCGAAUAAG
RNAcentral lists this long non-coding RNA (1207 nucleotides) under Bemisia tabaci. Its description in RNAcentral is "lncRNA ENSSSA3NGG008570". The record is from RNAcentral. Lineage: Eukaryota; Metazoa; Arthropoda; Insecta; Hemiptera; Aleyrodidae.